GGGUGAGUCACCAACGGAGCUGCUGGAGAAAGAAGGCGCCGGGAGAUCAGAAUCCCACGGGCUCGGAUCACAGCUCAGCUUGGAAUCUUCCUGAGUUCUCCUUGGUUACUCAUCUUUUCCUUCUUGGCCCGGAGGAAGGGAUGCCCCGUCUUCACAAACAGAUGCCCUCCCACGGGCCCCUCCUUCUACUGGUCCCUGCCCACCCACUCUCCUGCCUCCCUUCGGUUCCUUCCAAACUUCCAAAUGCUGUGAUUUGGGGCAAGGAUCUGGGGGGGCUCAGGCCUGGCUUGCAAGGUGUCUGCUGGGGGGUUGCCUCAGAGCUUCUUGCAUUCUGCUGACCUGAAACACAUAGAUGGUCAGAUAUUUCUCCAGCAAAGAUGGAUUUACUCAAGAUCAACAGAGAAUUGCAGUUUGGGGUCUGCAUCCAUGCCUGGUGCCAGCAACCUCUCCGCGGUCACUCGGAUUGGAAACGCCACAGCUACGACCUCCUCUUUCUCUGUCACAUCCAAUCAAGUGCAAAGUCCUCCACAGCAUCCCAGUUCAGUGUCUCUCCAAGACCCGGCCCUGCCUUCCCUGGGGCCCUCAGCAGCCUUGGCCAGGUGCCUACAUCUCCUCUCCGAUUCCGCUGUGAUUCUUGCCCUUCCACAUUUCCGUGUGCCCACCGCACCGCUUCCCUGAUCAAAUCCCCUAUGGCACCCCACUGCCUGCAAAUACCCUAGAGCUUCUUAGAAGAAUAUAGGAAGCUCUCCAGGUU
Molecule: long non-coding RNA, 754 nt
Organism: Mesoplodon densirostris (Blainville's beaked whale)
Lineage: Eukaryota; Metazoa; Chordata; Mammalia; Artiodactyla; Ziphiidae
Exons: 4
Source: RefSeq, a predicted model, not a curated record